RNAcentral lists this ribosomal RNA (450 nucleotides) under uncultured bacterium. RNAcentral's name for it is "bacterial SSU rRNA". It matches the Rfam family "Bacterial small subunit ribosomal RNA", at positions 354 to 796 of the family's 1533-position model. The record is from RNAcentral.
GUGGGGAAUAUUGGACAAUGGGCGAAAGCCUGAUCCAGCCAUGCCGCGUGUGUGAAGAAGGUCUUCGGAUUGUAAAGCACUUUAAGUUGGGAGGAAGGGCAGUAAGUUAAUAUCUUGCUGUUUUGACGUUACCGACAGAAUAAGCACCGGCUAACUUCGUGCCAGCAGCCGCGGUAAUACGAAGGGUGCAAGCGUUAAUCGGAAUUACUGGGCGUAAAGCGCGCGUAGGUGGUUUUGUAAGUUGGAGGUGAAAUCCCCAGGCGCAACCUGGGAACUGCCUCAAAAACUGCAUGACUAGAGUACGGUAGAGGGUAGUGGAAUUUCCUGUGUAGCGGUGAAAUGCGUAGAUAUAGGAAGGAACACCAGUGGCGAAGGCGACUACCUGGACUGAUACUGACACUGAGGUGCGAAAGCGUGGGGAGCAAACAGGAUUCGAUACCCGUGUAGUCC